UACGGAGGGUGCGAGCGUUGUCCGGAAUCACUGGGCGUAAAGGGCGCGUAGGCGGCCCGUUAAGUGGCUGGUGAAAUCCCGCGGCUCAACUGCGGGGCUGCCGGUCAGACUGGCGAGCUAGAGCACGGUAGGGGCAGAUGGAAUUCCCGGUGUAGCGGUGAAAUGCGUAGAUAUCAGGAGGAACACCGGUGGCGAAGGCGGCUUUCUGGACAGAAACUGACGCUGAGGUGCGAAAGCUAGGGGAGCAAACGGG
This 253-nucleotide ribosomal RNA is filed under the name uncultured prokaryote. Its description in RNAcentral is "partial 16S ribosomal RNA". It matches the Rfam family "Bacterial small subunit ribosomal RNA", at positions 524 to 776 of the family's 1533-position model. The record is from RNAcentral.